UAGGUGUGCGAGCAGAGAUGUUGGUGUGCCGCAGUUAACGCGAUAAGCAUUCCGCCUGGGGAGUACGGUCGCAAGAUUGAAACUCAAAGGAAUUGACGGGGGCCCGCACAAGCGGUGGAGCACGUGGUUUAAUUCGAUGCAAACCGAAGAACCUUACCUGGGUUUGACAUGUAUGUGGUAGGAGAUGGAAACAUUGACGACGCUGCUUUCGGGCAGUGAGCAUACACAGGUGCUGCAUGGCUGUCGUCAG
RNAcentral lists this ribosomal RNA (250 nucleotides) under uncultured bacterium. RNAcentral describes it as "partial 16S ribosomal RNA". It matches the Rfam family "Bacterial small subunit ribosomal RNA", at positions 817 to 1058 of the family's 1533-position model. The record is from RNAcentral.